Molecule: ribosomal RNA, 253 nt
Filed under: uncultured bacterium
Lineage: Bacteria
Description: partial 16S ribosomal RNA
Rfam family: Bacterial small subunit ribosomal RNA
Source: RNAcentral
UACGUAGGGUGCAAGCGUUGUCCGGAAUUAUUGGGCGUAAAGAGCUCGUAGGCGGCCUGUCACGUCGGCUGUGAAAACCCGAGGCUCAACCUCGGGCCUGCAGUCGAUACGGGCAAACUAGAGUACUGCAGGGGAGACUGGAAUUCCUGGUGUAGCGGUGAAAUGCGCAGAUAUCAGGAGGAACACCGGUGGCGAAGGCGGGUCUCUGGGCAGUAACUGACGCUGAGGCGCGAAAGCGUGGGGAGCAAACAGG